AGUGAACGCUGGCGGUAGGCCUAACACAUGCAAGUCGAACGGCAGCACAGUAAGAGCUUGCUCUUACGGGUGGCGAGUGGCGGACGGGUGAGGAAUACAUCGGAAUCUACUUUUUCGUGGGGGAUAACGUAGGGAAACUUACGCUAAUACCGCAUACGACCUACGGGUGAAAGCAGGGGAUCUUCGGACCUUGUGCGAUUGAAUGAGCCGAUGUCGGAUUAGCUAGUUGGCGGGGUAAAGGCCCACCAAGGCGACGAUCCGUAGCUGGUCUGAGAGGAUGGUCAGCCACACUGGAACUGAAACACGGUCCAGACGCCUACGGGAGGCAACAGUGGGGAAUAUUGGACAAUGGGCGCAAGCCUGAUCCAGCCAUACCGCGUGGGUGAAGAAGGCCUUCGGGUUGUAAAGCCCUUUUGUUGGGAAAGAAAAGCAGCAGGUUAAUACCCCGCUGUUCUGACGGUACCCAAAGAAUAAGCACCGGCUAACUUCGUG
Molecule: ribosomal RNA, 492 nt
Filed under: uncultured bacterium
Lineage: Bacteria
Description: partial 16S ribosomal RNA
Rfam family: Bacterial small subunit ribosomal RNA
Source: RNAcentral